Molecule: long non-coding RNA, 7146 nt
Filed under: Lynx pardinus (Iberian lynx)
Lineage: Eukaryota; Metazoa; Chordata; Mammalia; Carnivora; Felidae
Source: RNAcentral
GAUGGCAUUGGCAGGAAGUGCUCUCAUUCCAGCCACCCGCUGCAUAUACUGGUUGGUCAGGUGAGCCUUUCUCUCUUCCUUUCUCUGGGCCAGGGCGACGUACAGCGGCUUGGAGCCCACGAUGCGUCCAUUCAUCUCAGUGACCGCUUUGGUCGCCUCUUCAGGAGAUGAGAAGCAGACAAAGCCAAACCCUUUGCUUCUCCCAUCCUCCAACAUUACCUACAAAGGGACCAGCUACUUAAGGAAAAAAUGUUCUAUGUUGGGGGACAGCUAUUAAGAGUCAAAAACCCUGGGUCCUGCCGCAAGAGUCCCCAAGUGUAGGAUAAGGGUUCUCAGCCUUGUGCCAGGAUGUCCCACAGGCCAAUUAAGUCACAACCUCUAAGGACAGGACCUAGGCAUUUUCACUUUGUUAGAUCUCCGGGUGAUCCUAAAGUUUCCAAACACUAUGACAUAGCUAAUGGUUAAACCAGGAACUCAAAAGAUGUUUCCUGAUACCUGAAGCAAAGCUACCUUUGGCUACCCACUAGAAAUCUGGGCAGUGUCAAGCUAUUUACUUGCAGAACUCAUCUGCUCAAGACCUUGGUGCACAAAACCUUAAUCAUUGCUUAUCAAGGUUAGGAUAUGGUUUUGAAUUACCACAUGCGGGCAGGAAUUACAAAACCAAUGACCACCACCAUUAAUCCAACAGCAGAAAGAUGGCCAGCUGGGAGAGACAGCUGGGAUUCUUGUCCCAACUCUAAUCUCUAAGCUGCGUGACCUUAACAUUUACUUGCCCUCUGUGAGCCUCAAUGUCCAUGAUGACCUCUAAGGCAAACUACCACAAAACCACAUGUCUACUGGUUCUCUUCCCACAUACAGCUAGUCAUUCAUGGAUAGCUCUUUAUCCUCACCUGAGAAGGUGACUUAUUGCUUUCCCUGGUCUACAUCCUCAAAAAUAAUUGGUAGCAAGAGGACGAGGUAUGCUUGGCACCAUUUUGUGUCUUAGCUCGCUGCCUGGACAGCCUCCUGAGGUGGAGGACAUGAGAGUAAGGAUGUAUACCAACCCAACAUCUUUCUACCAAUGAGAUGGGCCAACACGGUGUAUGAAAACAUGACACCCUGAUCUUGAAAACAGGGGCUGUGAAACUUGAAAGACCUGGUUCUUUUGUUCUUUUCCUGCCAACUUAAGCACUGUGCUGAUAAGGAGAGACCAUCAUUCUUCACACUGAUGGAAGGCCAGUGAAGGAAGUGAUAAGAGGGAAGGGCCAAGGAAACAAGGAACCCGACAGGGUGGCCUCUGGUCAACUCUGCUACAACUGAUAAUGUGCCUUUGACAACACUCCCAGGUUGUGCACGACUUAAACUAAGGGCCAAGACAGGGUCACACCAAAGUCUUUUUACCAGACCACUUGGCCUCUUUCUCAUCCCUGAAAAGACUCUGACACCUGCUGCACCUCUGCUGAGCAGGAACAGCGUGUGCCUCAAGGCUACAACCCAAAACUUUCACACGCCAUCCACUCCCAUCACACCCCCCCGACAGACCAAGGACGUGCGGCACACCAGCCUCUAACGAGUGUACUCAUGCUCAAGGACUCCAAUUCCUUAUCUCCACAAGGGGGUUCAUACUCACUCACCCUGCUGUAUCAGUUGAUAGGACUAUCAAAGAACACCAAGCAGACGACACACAUGGCAAAAUGUGGAAGAGUCAUCUUUCCACUCCUCUUUGUGUGCCUUUAGCUUUUAUAAGGCCAGAAGUUCCUAACCCCAGCUCCCAAGUCCUCAAACACCUUCAUUCAAGGACAAAGUGUGUGGCAGAGUUGUAGAGACAGGCCCCAAGACAAAUGGAAAACAACCCGUCUGGAUUUCCUCUGCUCAUACUGUUGCACCAUCUGUCCCCACACCAGCACAAAGCAGCAAAGAAUGGGAAAGAUUCAGGUGCUUGAGGGGCGUUGGCAGGAGGGACUGCUCAGAUUCACCUCCAUACCUCAGUGCCUGGGAGAGAUGGUGCCAUUUAACCUAAUGAAAUUCCAUUCUCCAGAGCACAUACUCAGAUGCGUAAUAUUGGAGGCCAGGAGGAAUUAUGCUAGAUGAAUGUGAUAGCUAUUUUCAGCAACGAACACAAUUUAGAUUCCACUCCUUCAAUGAAAUAAAAAAAAUUACAAUUUCUACUUUCGAUCUCCAAACCACAGUAUAAAAUACCUUAGCGCUGGUGAUUGAUCCAAAAGGAGAAAACUCUUUUCUUAACUUCUCAUCAUCAAUGGUGUCAUCCAAGUUCUUAAUGUAGAGAUUCACUCCCUGAAACAGAGGGGCCACAGUUAAUGCACAUCUGUACCCUAUAGAUGCCCUGAGACACUGGUUCUCAAAAUGUGGUCCCCAGACCAGCAGCAACCACCUCCUUGGACGCUUCUUAGAAAAGCAAAUUCUCAGACCAGGACCCCAGAAAUUCUGGGGCUCAGAAAGCCAUGCUUUCACAAGCCCUAAAGGGGACUCUGAUGUAGGCUCAGGGUUGAGACUCCUGCCACAAUUUCUGAAGGGACCCUCAAUAAGGGUUUGGAAUGCUCUGACCAUUGUCCCCAGCAAGGCUCUUGCCACCAAUCCAACAAAAGGCAAUCAUUUAAGUAAAAAGAACCCACAUGAUUAAGAACAAUAGACUGAGGCUUCCGGGAGUGAGUCCCUAAAUAAUACAUCAAUCUCUUUUGCCCUUGUUCUAGAAUCACUGCUGUAUCUGGUAAGUAUAUCCUUCCAAACCUGGGGAUCUUGGGAGAAAGGAGAGGAAGAGGCAGUUUCCCAGUUCCCAAAGAGAAAGGCUGAUAAACAGAAAGGCGCUCUUGUCGGGACUGCACAGUAAACCCUCAGUGGGGAGGCUGUGCUGAGACCACCUCUCACCUGAUACCGACUAAUUCUCUCUUGCUUCAGCUGUUCAAAUUUCCGCUUUAACUCGGCCUGCCGUUCCACUUUCUUCUGUGCGCGGCCUACAAAAAUGACUUUCCCACUGAUUUCUUUUCCAUUCAUCUCUUCCACGGCCUAAAGAGGAAACACAGGUCUUAAAACCAAGACGUAGAGGCUGGGCCCUUGCCCUGGAGGCCUCAAAGUCCCACCAAACAUUCGGAGAGAAGGAAAUCUUUCCUACAGGGUUAAAAACUAGUUUAAUUCCAUUUCUGAAGCCAGCUAAGCAAAUCCAAACUUCCUCAUGAGUAAAAGGGGGUUACUACUUAAAUGGAUUAUUGGUCCAUAUGAUACAGGAAAAAAAAUGGUAGUUUUAUAAAUACAAGCAUGGCAGACAUGAGCCAAGGCUGAUAAUCUGGCUGUAGCUAAGUCUCUCAGGUUCUCUUGUGGGCAGUGAGUGAUGUAUGUCAAGGGCCAGCACCAUGCUUUAUCUACAAAAAUAGCUGCUGCCCUGUUAUCAAGUCAGCAACUCCUGAGGGAAGACGGAGUCCCCUCACUAUGAAUGGAAGCAAACAUCCAUCCUACUCUUUCAACCUACAGGGCCGAACAGCUGAGGUGACAGGCUACAUGCCCGGUGCUUUGGGAACAGGUAAAUGAUGUAUUACCAUGUGAAGUCCCUCAGGCCAGUAACUGCAUCACUACGAUACCCGGGCAAUUCCAGUUCUACUCUAUUUACCAGCCAGGCCUGACCACACUCAGGGGCCACUUCCUGAAAAUUUCUCCCCGACCCUCGUGGUACUCUCACCUUAUUGGCAUCCUCGUGUUUUUCGUAACUCACAAAGCCAAAGCCUUUGGAUUUCCCACUGGGAUCUCUCAUCACCUUGACACUUAGGGUCUUACCUAUUACCAAAGGACAGAACUAUUAGUAACACCAUCUCUACUGCAGCUCAAGGAGAGAAGGCUUCUCUAAGUGUCCAAAUGAAGCCAAUUCUUGCUGAACCCAGAUGGGGUCCAGAAAGAGGCGCGGUGCCUGGUCUUCUAGUUCUGACCAAGCUACUGGAAAGGCCCUGGGGCUGGGACAAGGUAGGAUAAAGCCAAGAGUCUAUUCCUAUCUACUCUGUGACCCUGUCACACAAGGUAGUUUACUUCUGGGCCUAGGUGCCCUUGUCUCUUAAACAACUAAGAUCCACACGUUUUAGGUCUGGUGAACUGUGGAAGGGGGCACAUGGGGCAAAGAAGCCCAACUUACCAAACUGACUAAACAGCUCUUUCAGGCUCUCAUCAUCCACCUCUUCCCCAAAGUUUUUGAUAUAAACAUUGGUGAACUCCUUGGCUUUGGCUCCAAGCUCGGCUUCCCGCUCUUUUCGAGACUUGAAUCUGCCCACAAACCUAAAAAGAAAUCAUAGGAAACAGUGACUACCCAGAAGAACAAAUCAGGUUUCCAGGGGCCCAAAGGAAUAUAGGUUAAAGACUGACAGGAGAGGUUAAAACACACAAGUCCCCAUCCAACCACCAAGAGAGCAAGCUCAGAGAUGCCCCAACUCCCCAGCAGAAAGAGAGAGGCAGGACUGUCCUGCAAGGAUCAGUCCCAGGACUCCUGGCUCAGACCAGGGCUACUCCUACCACAUCACACUGCCUUCAUGAAGAAACCUGGUGACCAUUAUUAAAACGUUCAUUUCUGUGCAUCUAUGUAAAUGCAUAGAAAAGGUCUGGAAGGAUACAAACCAAACUGUUAACAGUGGUUAAUCCUAGGGGUGAGAUUGCUAGAGUGAACUAUGAGGUAGCCUUUGCUUUUGCAUUUCGCACAUUCUGGUGUUUGCACUUAAUGGGAAAAUGUAUCCACACACUGAAAAUCUUUAGAUCUCUUUCCAGUGAUACCUUUGGAAGACUUGACCAUUGGCCACAUACACAUUAUCAAUGCAAUCCAUCCCCUAGUCUGUUCAAAACAAAGGACAGAAAUGAUCUUUGCUUGUUAUAGCCAAGACUUAUUGUCCCUUCUCUCUCCCUGAAUGGCUUAAGACUCUCUUGUCCCCAUUCUGCAAUAACCAUACCAAAGCGAGAAGGUCUACUAUAAACAGCGUCUUCUGCAAUCAGAGAUUUUUUUCAUUAUAACCAAAUUAAGCAUUACUGUGGAGCCAGCCUUGUAUGAGAAGGCCACUGAGUCAUAAGUUAGCCAAGUGGAGAUCUGGAGACAAUUUGGCAUCAACUCCUAGCAAAUGACCCCAUGGACAGACCUGAAUCACAGGAAGGCCAAGGUCACAUGGCUAGUACACAGCUCCUGGUCAGUCCAGGGCCCUCUCCACUCUGCCGCUGGCCAAGACCCCUGCUCAGAAAGGGCUCAGAGCUGCCUUCUAGCAAGCCCCAGUUGCCGAUGCUCAUAAAACCCACGGACGAAUGAUGCUUUUGAGGGAGAGGCGGCAGGCAGGCCAUGGCUUGGGCAGGAAGCCCACCUUGGCGAGUCAAAAGGGCUGCCACGGCUCGGGCAGGGAGACUCACCAGCCCUGGAGUGGAGAGGUAGGAGCAGGCCACACUUGGGCCGAGAGAACCAGUAGCCGCCUUGUGUGUGCCAGUUAAUACCGAGGUGGGGCCACGGCUGGCUCAUGCGAUGGCUGUUGCUCCGGACUGGGACACUCACACUUUGCGGUCAUUGAGGAGCAUGCCGUUCAUCUUCUCGAUGGCCUUGUCAGCAGCCUCUUGGGUCUCGAAGUGGACAAAGGCAUAACCCUUAGAGCCGUUCUCAUCACACACCACCUGUCAAAGACAAGGGGGGGCCGCUUUAGCACCACUGGCAUCUCCAGGUAUUUGACAACCACAUGACCUUCUCCUCAGAGUCUCCUGUGUCCGAGAGGCCGCUAGCCCAUCCAUAGUCAAAAGAUAGGAGACUCCAGCAGAUAAGGUUUUUCCUAGUAGUGAGCACACUACAAGGGACCUAGUGAUGUUCCAUUUACAAAUGGCAGCCACUAUUAGGCUGCUUCCAGUCCAAAUGUUUUAUUUCAUUAAAAAAAACUGAGAUCUGGGUGCAAAACCACCGUGCCGCAGAAAAAGUGAUCAAUGGCCAAGCCCACAAUACAAUUUCAGUCUAGUAGGGAGUCAGAUACCACCACCACACCAGUUGUACUAAAUUCUCCACAAAAACAGGUGCAAAGGGAAGGAAGGAAGAGGAUGAAUUUAUACUUCUGAGAUGACUAAGUAUAGCUGCCUGGAGACCAGAGGCACUGCUCUACUUCUCCCCCCAGAAAAGAUAAACUCUUCAAUGCCCUCCAAAGGUAGAAAACAGAAAGGAUAUUUCAGGCAGAGGGAAGAAUAAACAGAGAAACAAAAGCACCUGCUGGUGAUACUGGAUUGUGACACAAGAUUAUCUACAGGGAACUUUUAGCCUUUGGAGCCAUUUCCAGCCAAUUACCAUCGCCCAAUUCCAAGGCUGCUCCCCAUUUGGUAUUUAUCUUGUUUUCAUGAGUCAAUGAUCAUUCUACUGAAAUCAUUUAAUCAAUGCUUACCUUGCAAGACAGAAUGUUUCCAAAAGCAGAAAAAGUAUCAUAAAGUGCCUUGUUAUCUAUAGAUUUGUCCAGAUUCUUGAUGAAGACAUUUCCCACACCAGAUUUUCUCAAAGAGGGAUCCCUCUGAGACCACAUGAUACGGAUUGGCUUUCCCUUAAUCACAUCAAAGUUCAUGGUAUCCAAGGCCCGCUCAGCUGCAAGAGAGAAACAUAUUUCGGUCAAGGAUAUAAAGCAUCACUCCGUGCAGACAACUGCCACCAGCCCAGGAACAGAGGACUCCAAGACUUUUCAAGGUAAUCACUGUGAUAAAAGGCAACUCUAUUAAAAUUAAAAGGCAUCAGAUCCCUCCAGCCUGCGUUGCCAGUGAGGGUAGACGUUCUGGCCAGUUGCUCCCACUUCCUGGCACAAGUCUCCAGCCCUCUGGACCUGCACCCUUGUUGUGUAAAAGGGGUAGGCGAGAGCAUCUAAAUGGCCUUCUGGCACCAAUAUCAAGUCACAAUUCCAUACAUUUGACUGAGCUCUAUCAGUUAUAAAGAUCUGCUGCUGACCACCCAUGGUGACACAGGUAGAACAGUUGUGAUAUUAUCUAUUUCAUAAAAUGAGCAAACUUAUGUCCAGGAUGGCUAAACCGUGCAGCUAACUAGUGAGUAAGAAACUAAUACUAGAUUUUCUGAUUAUUUUUCAGUUAGAUAUUGCAUCAAAUUACCAACGAGCUGUCAUUUAGUCUACAAUCUGUCUGUCUAGGAAACAAGUGACAGAACAAAACCUGGGAACAACUGACUGG